Molecule: ribosomal RNA, 595 nt
Filed under: Lacticaseibacillus rhamnosus
Lineage: Bacteria; Bacillati; Bacillota; Bacilli; Lactobacillales; Lactobacillaceae
Description: bacterial SSU rRNA
Rfam family: Bacterial small subunit ribosomal RNA
Source: RNAcentral
CGAGUUCUGAUUAUUGAAAGGUGCUUGCAUCUUGAUUUAAUUUUGAACGACGUGGCGGACGGGUGAGUAACACGUGGGUAACCUGCCCUUAAGUGGGGGAUAACAUUUGGAAACAGAUGCUAAUACCGCAUAAAUCCAAGAACCGCAUGGUUCUUGGCUGAAAGAUGGCGUAAGCUAUCGCUUUUGGAUGGACCCGCGGCGUAUUAGCUAGUUGGUGAGGUAACGGCUCACCAAGGCAAUGAUACGUAGCCGAACUGAGAGGUUGAUCGGCCACAUUGGGACUGAGACACGGCCCAAACUCCUACGGGAGGCAGCAGUAGGGAAUCUUCCACAAUGGACGCAAGUCUGAUGGAGCAACGCCGCGUGAGUGAAGAAGGCUUUCGGGUCGUAAAACUCUGUUGUUGGAGAAGAAUGGUCGGCAGAGUAACUGUUGUCGGCGUGACGGUAUCCAACCAGAAAGCCACGGCUAACUACGUGCCAGCAGCCGCGGUAAUACGUAGGUGGCAAGCGUUAUCCGGAUUUAUUGGGCGUAAAGCGAGCCAGGCGGUUUUUAAGUCUGUGUGAAAGCCUCGCUUACCGAGGAAGUGCAUCGGAA